Molecule: ribosomal RNA, 254 nt
Filed under: uncultured bacterium
Lineage: Bacteria
Description: partial 16S ribosomal RNA
Rfam family: Bacterial small subunit ribosomal RNA
Source: RNAcentral
UACGGAGGGUGCGAGCGUUGUCCGGAAUCAUUGGGCGUAAAGGGCGCGUAGGUGGCGGGACAAGCGUGCGGUGAAAGCCUGGGGCUCAACCCCGGGUCGGCCGUGCGAACUGUUUUGCUUGAGCACUGUAGAGGCAGGCGGAAUUCCGGGUGUAGCGGUGGAAUGCGUAGAGAUCCGGAAGAACACCGGUGGCGAAGGCGGCCUGCUGGGCAGUAGCUGACACUGAGGCGCGACAGCGGUGGGGAGCAAACAGG